UCUUUUCCUUUUUUGCCCGCCGCCGCGGUAAAACGUAGGUCACAAGCGUUGUCCGGAAUUACUGGGUGUAAAGGGAGCGCAGGCAGGAGAACAAGUUGGAAGUGAAAUCCAUGGGCUCAACCCAUGAACUGCUUUCAAAACUGUUUUUCUUGAGUAGUGCAGAGGUAGGCGGAAUUCCCGGUGUAGCGGUGGAAUGCGUAGAUAUCGGGAGGAACACCAGUGGCGAAGGCGGCCUACUGGGCACCAACUGACGCUGAGGCUCGAAAGUGUGGGUAGCAAACAGG
Molecule: ribosomal RNA, 284 nt
Filed under: Faecalibacterium prausnitzii
Lineage: Bacteria; Bacillati; Bacillota; Clostridia; Eubacteriales; Oscillospiraceae
Description: partial 16S ribosomal RNA
Rfam family: Bacterial small subunit ribosomal RNA
Source: RNAcentral